GGCCGCUUGGUCUAGUAGUAUGAUUCCUGUUUUGGGUUACGCUUACAUAAGCGGGAAACACACAUACAGGAGGUCGUGGGUUCAAUUCCCACAGCGGCCC
RNAcentral lists this transfer RNA (100 nucleotides) under Rhizoctonia solani. RNAcentral describes it as "tRNA-Pro". It matches the Rfam family "tRNA". From Rfam's summary of the family: Transfer RNA (tRNA) molecules are approximately 80 nucleotides in length. Their secondary structure includes four short double-helical elements and three loops (D, anti-codon, and T loops). The record is from RNAcentral. Lineage: Eukaryota; Fungi; Basidiomycota; Agaricomycetes; Cantharellales; Ceratobasidiaceae.